GCCAGCAUGGCAUAGUGGUUUGAGCACUGGACUGCAACUCUGGAGACCAGGGGUCAAUUCCCUGCUCAGCCU
This 72-nucleotide transfer RNA is filed under the name Phrynosoma platyrhinos (Desert horned lizard). RNAcentral's name for it is "tRNA-OTHER". The stretch from base 9 to 72 matches the Rfam family "tRNA". From Rfam's summary of the family: Transfer RNA (tRNA) molecules are approximately 80 nucleotides in length. Their secondary structure includes four short double-helical elements and three loops (D, anti-codon, and T loops). Further hydrogen bonds mediate the characteristic L-shaped molecular structure. tRNAs have two regions of fundamental functional importance: the anti-codon, which is responsible for specific mRNA codon recognition, and the 3' end, to which the tRNAs corresponding amino acid is attached (by aminoacyl-tRNA synthetases). tRNAs cope with the degeneracy of the genetic code in two manners: having more than one tRNA (with a specific anti-codon) for a particular amino acid; and 'wobble' base-pairing, i.e. permitting non-standard base-pairing at the 3rd anti-codon position. The record is from RNAcentral. Lineage: Eukaryota; Metazoa; Chordata; Lepidosauria; Squamata; Phrynosomatidae.